AAACGUUAUCUGGUCGAAGCUGAAUUAUUGAUAGUCCUUUCUUUAUUCAAGUGAAGUCUAUUGAUUAGAAAACUGCUAUUAUCCCAAGCACUAUUAACUUUUGCUUAUGCUUAGUGCAAACGAUUAUUUGUAUUAACUGCUCUGAGCAUUGAAGAACAGGAAUAACAUAGAGGCAUUAGAGAGGAGCUCAAACAUUUGUCCUUCUGGUAGUGAUCACCAAGAUUCUAAAAGCACAUCAAUAAAACGUUUGUGCUAAACGGACUUGGUUUCACAACACUAUUGUCGUCAAUCCUGAUAAAAAAAAAACGAUUGAAGAGCACGUGUGUAGAUCCAAUGCGCCACAGUUACUUUAAUUAUUAGGAACAUCAUUACUCAUUUUGAAUUUAUAUUUUAAUAUUAUGUGGUUGGAGGAGACGAAACAAACAAAAGAGUGCCCUCGAUGGAUUCCUAUGUGUGUCGUUUGAUGAAUUGGCGCAGUCAGGACAACGUCAUUCUAGGAUGUCUUGAGCUGUGUCAAUAAUCCAUGGUCAACAUAUUCGCAAAGGUAGAGAGCGAGCGAACGACUGCGAUUCCUAUGAGACAAUCAACAGAAACGGUUCGAGGAAUGAUAGCGAGAAUGAAGUAAUGAGUAACACCUACACAGCCUUUGUUCAAACGACAGCACGUGUGUUCAAACAAAAGAAAUGUAGUUUUUAAUGGGCUCUAUUACAAAAUUACACGUAUUUCGUCCAACAUGUUGCUGGAUGUAUAUAUAUGGAGAUUUAUAGAAGAAUCGUUAAGUUCGGACUGUUUUCUAAGUAUUUAAACAACAUCGAGUAAUGAUUUUCAUCCAAAUUUAAGCAAUUUAAAAAUAUUUUCGUGUAUGCUAAUCUGAUACAGAUUAAAUUGCUCCACGAAUACGGAUUACUUAUUUUGAAGUUUAUUUUGCGCCGAGGCAAGGUUGCUACAUUUUAUAGCACUAAUGAUCAGAUUUCUGAAUGCAAAAGACGAAUCCUGAGAUCCGAUCGGUCCGGUCCAUUUCUCUGUACAUCAUAGAUCUCAUCUCCAUCUCCACAUCACACUCAGGUUCGAGAAGUUCCCACGGUCCAAUGCAAUACACGGUCAAAUCUGCAUGUAUCUGCUCAAUAUCCACGUGGAACCUAUCCUUCAUCGAUCAUAAUCAAAUAAUUUUAUAGACCGUUGAAACA
Molecule: long non-coding RNA, 1187 nt
Organism: Toxorhynchites rutilus septentrionalis
Lineage: Eukaryota; Metazoa; Arthropoda; Insecta; Diptera; Culicidae
Exons: 3
Source: RefSeq, a predicted model, not a curated record